AUCGAGUAUCGAUUGGAACCGGGACUAACUUUCCGAUUCUCCCGGAAUCGUUCAAAAGUUUAAAUUUCGAUUCCUAGUUUCGAUACCCGGUCCGCCGACCGGAAAAAAAGAAUAAGUCCGCCGACCGGAAGAAGAAGCCGCUGAACACCAACGAAGAAGCGCCCACCGCCGGAAGUGUUAGCAUAGCCGAGCCUAUGUAGCCGAGCAAGUCAGUCAAGCAUGGAUAGCGGGCGUCGGCGGUCGAAAGUGUGGCUUUAUUUUACUAAAAAAAAUGAAAUAUCGGCGAAAUGUAACACGUGCGACAGGACUGUUUCGUGCUUAGGAGGGUACACGUCGAACAUGAUGAAGCACCUCCGAGUUCAUGGAGUACAAAUAAAUGCGUGUCCCGUCUUCGACGCGCUGCGCCGACCGUCCUCCUCUGGCUCCGACGCCCAGCCUGGCACCUCGGUGACUGCACUGCAGUCCGAAUCCGACAAUUUACAACCUGCUAGCCAGGCUCCGCGAUGUGCUCAGCGUACUCCGUUCACCGUAGCGGCAAUGGGGGAAGAUGUCGGUGCCACAGACGGAAGAGUGUCACAGAAAGGUCACUGCACACAUAGUCAAAAGACUGCAUCCCUUUCCAGAGGUGGAAUCUCCAACAUUUAGGGAUAUGGUGAAAACUCUCAACCCAAAAUACAUACCACCUUCCAGGGACUACCUGUCAAACACAUUGAUCCCGGCAUGGUACAAGAAGAAUCGGAAUCGAGAAUCGUCAGGAAUCGGAAUCGAAACAAAGAAUCGGAAUCGUACAAAUUCAAACGAUACCCAACCCUAACUCCAUGCCUCUGGACCCUGACCCGAUUCUGUCAAGGAUCGUGUGGUGACUGUCUGUGCACCAGCCUCCCCACGUAAAACAAAGUCACGCACAGGCAUCCUCCAUAAAGGGAUACACCCCUACGAGGAGGAUCGUCAUACUCGUUCGAGUAACCGCCGAUGAUGAUGAUGAUACGUUUUAUCGCCUGUCAUUUACAAAACAUGAUAACUUUGGGGAGCUUUAGAUUGCUCAAGUAAUGAGAAGUUUGACGGGGCCUGCAGGAGAAAAUGCAGAAUUUGCUGAAUUAUUUGCCUUUAGAUUGACAUUAUUUUUUAAUUGUGUCUGGUUUGAGAAAACAAGUAGGAAGUUUUUCAUAGUCUGAUGGUGAACAAAUGGAGAAUGUGGAUGUACGAACCCCGUUUUCAUAUGAGUUGGGAAAUUGUGUUAGAUGUAAAUAUAAACGGAAUACAAUGAUUUGCAAAUCAUUUUCAACCCAUAUUCAGUUAAAUAUGCUACAAA
This is a long non-coding RNA of Entelurus aequoreus (snake pipefish), 1312 nucleotides long. RefSeq lists it as uncharacterized. NCBI's taxonomy places the organism in Eukaryota, Metazoa, Chordata, Actinopteri, Syngnathiformes, Syngnathidae. The transcript has 3 exons. The record is from RefSeq and is a predicted model, not a curated record.